This 530-nucleotide ribosomal RNA is filed under the name Noviherbaspirillum canariense. RNAcentral's name for it is "bacterial SSU rRNA". Lineage: Bacteria; Pseudomonadati; Pseudomonadota; Betaproteobacteria; Burkholderiales; Oxalobacteraceae. The record is from RNAcentral.
CCUGAUCCAGCAAUGCCGCGUGAGUGAAGAAGGCCUUCGGGUUGUAAAGCUCUUUUGUCAGGGAAGAAACGGUCCGGGCUAAUAUCCUGGGCUAAUGACGGUACCUGAAGAAUAAGCACCGGCUAACUACGUGCCAGCAGCCGCGGUAAUACGUAGGGUGCGAGCGUUAAUCGGAAUUACUGGGCGUAAAGCGUGCGCAGGCGGUUGUGCAAGACAGAUGUGAAAUCCCCGGGCUCAACCUGGGAAUUGCAUUUGUGACUGCACGGCUAGAGUGUGUCAGAKGGGGGUAGAAUUCCACGUGUAGCAGUGAAAUGCGUAGAGAUGUGGAGGAAUACCGAUGGCGAAGGCAGCCCCCUGGGAUAACACUGACGCUCAUGCACGAAAGCGUGGGGAGCAAACAGGAUUAGAUACCCUGGUAGUCCACGCCCUAAACGAUGUCAACUAGUUGUCGGGUCUUAAUUGACUUGGUAACGCAGCUAACGCGUGAAGUUGACCGCCUGGGGAGUACNGUCGCNAGAUUAAAACUCAAA